Long non-coding RNA from Aegilops tauschii subsp. strangulata, 963 nucleotides. RefSeq lists it as uncharacterized. Lineage: Eukaryota; Viridiplantae; Streptophyta; Magnoliopsida; Poales; Poaceae. The record is from RefSeq and is a predicted model, not a curated record.
GAGAGAGAGAGAGAAAGAGAGAUCUCACCGUAUGCAUGAGUGAGCGAGCCGUGCUGACCCUGACUCGUAGGCGUAGUGGACGCUGGAUGACGGUGCAUUCCCAUGGUAGGGAUGGCUGGAGUAGAUUGGAUUGUGAUCCUUUUCCUUGGCAUUUUCUGUUGAAUUAAAGCUGACCAAGUUGUGUUUUUGGGUACGGAUUGUGAUCCAAGAAGAAGAAGAAGAAGAAGAAGAAGAAGAAGAAGAAGAAGAAGAAGAAGAAGAGAAGAGGUAGGGUGGUAACUAGUAAGAGCUGCAUCCACCCUUGCUUACCUUCAACAUACUAUGGGAAUGGGAUUCACACAAGAGUUUAAGCAACAGUCCAGCUGUGUUUUUGUCCAAGCCAUGUAAAAUCUGACCAAGUCCUGCCCAGCGCGCCUACUUUCAAUCGGUAUAUAUGCGCAUGUAAACAACAUAGACAACUAGGUCAUUCGAUGCAAAUCAAGUUAAGACGUGCUUCUUCUGUCCAACAUGGGGAUGGAGACCUUGCCAGAGAGACUGCUGAGGACGGAGCUUCCAACCGGACAAGGAAAUGCCUGCUCUGCUCCAUUGACUUCCCAGAUGCAUAAUUGGUGGUGACUUGCAGGCUAGCGUAUAUCCUGGCCUAUGGCAAGUGCUCAGUUUACAGAUGGCUGGAUCUGCUCCUCGAUCUAGCAGGAUGGACAUAGCUACCUACUUGAUUCAAAUUAUUGAUUUGCUUCCUCUGCUGGAGCCUGGGGUUGAAUUUGGGAUUCUGCAUCUGGUCGGCCCUCAAUCACAGGCCAGGGAUGGCCAUGGUUUUUCUGCUUCAGAGUUGAGCUGGAUGCCCGCCCAGUGCGUGCACGAGUCUCCUGAACACAAUGAGCAUGCCGUGGUCUGUCGUCUGUUCCAGCAGCAACGUUCAUACAUUGUUGUCCACUACUCCAGUGCAGCAGCAGCCCGAAAAUA